Molecule: ribosomal RNA, 482 nt
Filed under: uncultured Weissella sp.
Lineage: Bacteria; Bacillati; Bacillota; Bacilli; Lactobacillales; Lactobacillaceae
Description: bacterial SSU rRNA
Rfam family: Bacterial small subunit ribosomal RNA
Source: RNAcentral
GUGGUUCAACUGAUUUGAAGAGCUUGCUCAGAUAUGACGAUGGACAUUGCAAAGAGUGGCGAACGGGUGAGUAACACGUGGGAAACCUACCUCUUAGCAGGGGAUAACAUUUGGAAACAGAUGCUAAUACCGUAUAACAAUAGCAACCGCAUGGUUGCUACUUAAAAGAUGGUUCUGCUAUCACUAAGAGAUGGUCCCGCGGUGCAUUAGUUAGUUGGUGAGGUAAUGGCUCACCAAGACGAUGAUGCAUAGCCGAGUUGAGAGACUGAUCGGCCACAAUGGGACUGAGACACGGCCCAUACUCCUACGGGAGGCAGCAGUAGGGAAUCUUCCACAAUGGGCGAAAGCCUGAUGGAGCAACGCCGCGUGUGUGAUGAAGGGUUUCGGCUCGUAAAACACUGUUGUGAAGGAAGAACGGCUAUCAUAGGUAAUGAUGAUAGAGUGACGGUACUUUACCAGAAAGCCCCGGCUAACUACGUGCC